GGCCUCAUCGUCUAGCGGCCUAGGACGUCGCCCUCUCACGGCGAAAACAGGGGUUCGAUUCCCCUUGGGGCUACCA
RNAcentral lists this transfer RNA (76 nucleotides) under Nitrospinota bacterium. Its description in RNAcentral is "tRNA-Glu". It matches the Rfam family "tRNA". Rfam says of the family: Transfer RNA (tRNA) molecules are approximately 80 nucleotides in length. Their secondary structure includes four short double-helical elements and three loops (D, anti-codon, and T loops). The record is from RNAcentral. Lineage: Bacteria; Pseudomonadati; Nitrospinota.